RNAcentral lists this ribosomal RNA (99 nucleotides) under Vibrio splendidus. RNAcentral's name for it is "partial 16S ribosomal RNA". The stretch from base 1 to 89 matches the Rfam family "Bacterial small subunit ribosomal RNA", at positions 1445 to 1533 of the family's 1533-position model. Lineage: Bacteria; Pseudomonadati; Pseudomonadota; Gammaproteobacteria; Vibrionales; Vibrionaceae. The record is from RNAcentral. RNAcentral also lists the same sequence under 1 other name.
GGAGGACGCUCACCACUUUGUGGUUCAUGACUGGGGUGAAGUCGUAACAAGGUAGCCCUAGGGGAACCUGGGGCUGGAUCACCUCCUUAUACGAAGAUA